Molecule: ribosomal RNA, 460 nt
Filed under: uncultured bacterium
Lineage: Bacteria
Description: partial 16S ribosomal RNA
Rfam family: Bacterial small subunit ribosomal RNA
Source: RNAcentral
CCUACGGGAGGCAGCAGUGAGGAAUAUUGGUCAAUGGGCGCGAGCCUGAACCAGCCAAGUCGCGUGAGGGAUGACGGUCCUACGGAUUGUAAACCUCUUUUGCCGGGGAGCAAGCGUGCGUUCGUGAACGCGCGUCGAGAGUACCCGGAGAAAAAGCAUCGGCUAACUCCGUGCCAGCAGCCGCGGUAAUACGGAGGAUGCGAGCGUUAUCCGGAUUUGUUGGGUUUAAAGGGUGCGUAGGCGGGAUGCCAAGUCAGCGGUAAAAAUGCGGUGCUCAACGCCGUCGAGCCGUUGAAACUGGCGGUCUUGAGUGGGCGGAAAGUAUGCGGAAGGCGUGGGGUAGGGGUGAAAUGCAGAGAUAUCACGAAGAACGCCGAUUGCGAAGGCAGCAUAAGGGCGCGCUACUGACGCUGAGGCACGAAGGCGGGGGUAUCGAACAGGAUUAGAUACCCCUGUAGUC